This 346-nucleotide unclassified non-coding RNA is filed under the name soil metagenome. RNAcentral describes it as "partial contains 5.8S ribosomal RNA, internal transcribed spacer 2, and large subunit ribosomal RNA". The stretch from base 1 to 120 matches the Rfam family "5.8S ribosomal RNA", at positions 35 to 154 of the family's 154-position model. The record is from RNAcentral.
GAUGAAGAACGUAGCGAAAUGCGAUAAGUAGUGUGAAUUGCAGAAUUCAGUGAAUCAUCGAAUCUUUGAACGCACAUUGCGCCCCCUGGUAUUCCGGGGGGCAUGCCUGUCCGAGCGUCAUUGCUGCCCUCAAGCACGGCUUGUGUGUUGGGCCCCGUCCUCCGAUCCCGGGGGACGGGCCCGAAAGGCAGCGGCGGCACCGCGUCCGGUCCUUGAGCGUAUGGGGCUUUGUCACCCGCUCUGUAGGCCCGGCCGGCGCUUGCCGAUCAACCCAAAUUUUUAUCCAGGUUGACCUCGGAUCAGGUAGGGAUACCCGCUGAACUUAAGCAUAUCAAUAAGCGGAGGA